RNAcentral lists this long non-coding RNA (1824 nucleotides) under Jatropha curcas. RNAcentral's name for it is "long non-coding RNA (JCUR_LNC000990)". Lineage: Eukaryota; Viridiplantae; Streptophyta; Magnoliopsida; Malpighiales; Euphorbiaceae. The record is from RNAcentral.
GUUGACCUUAUUAAUACUUGUCUGCAUAUUUCAGAUGUUCAUGGAAGCCGUAAUUGCAUCAUUAAAGGAUUUGGAGAUACGAUAUCCGGAUGCAGAAGAACAGACCACCAUCAGUCCGAUUUCCACCGAAACUUCACAAAAACCUAACCUAAGUGCAUCUGACACAAUAGAGCAACAUGAACCUCCAAAGGCAGAUCCCACUUUCUUCUCUCCAGCAAUUAAUGGCCAAAAUUCUUCAAUGGAACACCCAUCACCUGAUCCUAGUGCGUCAUCCACUUCACCCCCAUUUGACACUCCCCAAUCCAUGACAGAAUCGGGAAGCUCAACCACAUCAACUCUUAGUGAUGCUUCAGGAAGUGUACAGACCUCAACAGAUACUGACUUGUCAAGUAACACGAAAGCGACGUUGACAGUAGAAAGGAACCCGGCCAAUCAUAUUAUGGAUGGCUUGAUGCGUCGUUGGGAUUUCAACUUGUUUCGUAACAAUCGAUGAACAUUAAUAUGAUUUUUUCUUUUUUUUUUCCUUUUUUUUUUUUGUUUCAACAAUCUUGUCAUGAUUUGUUUUGUAAUUAAGAUAGCAGCAAGCAAUUGAUUUAGUACUGUAAAAUACACGAAACGAAAGGAAGAUAGGUUCAGAAGAUGUGCUUAAAGUUGAUGGAAUUGGUUUAUAUGAUACAGUAUUUUUACUGCUCAAUUCGUUUGUGAACAAUUUUAUGGUUCUACUCGAAAUUAAGAGAACUGUGAACAUAACUAGCAGAAGCAUUUUCAGUGAUUAUGUCAAGCUCUUCCGUGAAAUUUCUUUCUACAAAUUAGUGACGUGUCGUUUUAUGACCGGCCAUCUAAUGCCAUGUCAGCACUCCGGAGUUCGGAUACCGUAACGGACUUCGCGGAUAUCCGUAUCGACGAAUUCAGUUUCGAGUUUCUGAUGGAGAAAACAAAGAAGCAAAAAAAUGAUCUACGAACACCGCUUCUUCUUCUGGUUAUCAGGCAUGGAAAUGCCUCUGCAGCCUCCUCCCCUCUACAGUGGCGAUCCACGGCCCGCUUCACUCAAAUGCAAGUCCCAACACAUCAAUCUGUGCAUAAUAAAACCAAUGAAUAUAGAGUAACCAUCUCGAUUUUACGGCCUUCGUAAAAUUCUUUAUUAGAAUUGCUAAUUUCUCUCUCUCAAAACCUUUCAAAAUUUUAUACCGUCGGAUGAACCGAUAAUCUUCCCCUAAAGCUCAUCUCUAACCAUUUUAGAUAUUACCCAGUUGGCCAUUUGUGUUGUGCGAUUGAUAAAAGCACCAAAUUUGACCUCUAGACACAGAUGCAAACCAUUAUUAAUACUUGUCUGCAUAUUUCAGAUGUUCAUGGAAGCCGUAAUUGCAUCAUUAAAGGAUUUGGAGAUACGAUAUCCGGAUGCAGAAGAACAGACCACCAUCAGUCCGAUUUCCACCGAAACUUCACAAAAACCUAACCUAAGUGCAUCUGACACAAUAGAGCAACAUGAACCUCCAAAGGCAGAUCCCACUUUCUUCUCUCCAGCAAUUAAUGGCCAAAAUUCUUCAAUGGAACACCCAUCACCUGAUCCUAGUGCGUCAUCCACUUCACCCCCAUUUGACACUCCCCAAUCCAUGACAGAAUCGGGAAGCUCAACCACAUCAACUCUUAGUGAUGCUUCAGGAAGUGUACAGACCUCAACAGAUACUGACUUGUCAAGUAACACGAAAGCGACGUUGACAGUAGAAAGGAACCCGGCCAAUCAUAUUAUGGAUGGCUUGAUGCGUCGUUGGGAUUUCAACUUGUUUCGUAACAAUCGAUGAACAUUAAUAUGAUUUUUUCUUU